GGAACAGCGACGUCCAAGAGGUCAUGUGACCAGUUGAGGUGUACGUCAUGCGACUUCAAGGUGCUGAUGUUCGAUGACUGCGAGUGGGACCCGUCCUGCGAUUACCUGUUCUUCAGAAACAAUAUGCCGGAGCGUCAGAAGCUGGGGUCGCGGCUGAGGAGGAGGAGAGGUCAGAGGUCGUACGCCUGUCAGUGCAGCUGGACCUCUGCGUCGGAGGCUGCAGACCUCAGGGAUCGUCCUCGGCUCAGAUGGGUCUGCGGCAAACACCACGACUGAGAAACUGAAACACGCUCUCCGGAGAACUCAGACGUUUAGGACGGAGGACCUUCUGCCGCUCAUCAGCUGAUCUCUGUCUCUCAUUCUCCACAAAACACACCCUCAGACAGAGACAUCUGCACAAGUAGGAAAGAACUUUUGGGAAGCUUCAACCCCGAUGUCAGAAUCAGAAUGAGAUGAAAACCUCAACGUACGGUCCCUCGGCCAUAACAUCAUCACAUGCUGCUUUUCAUUAUAUCAUGCUUUACAUCCAGAGACCACUGUUGGCCUCUGAGAGGAAAAGUGAUCGAGGCGUGAGUCAAGGGUUCAAGGCUUUUAUUUGUCAAAGCUACAGUGUAGUUAUGACGAUGAAAAUCUUCGGUCACAGGCUCCUCCAACAGAGCAACACAGAUAAACACAAACAAAUAGUGCAAGUCGUGAGUCAAUACAAAAGGAAAAAUAGUACAAAGUGUGUGGACAGGAGGAGGAGAAAGAUGGAGCGUCUGCUGCCAGAGGACGAACCGAGGAACAGACAUUACAGACAAACAGGACAUGUUCGUGGACGGGUCAAUGACGGGACAUCCUGCUCCAUAACAUGUCUUCUGUCAGACUCAUGGGAAGGAAACAUCCAGAGUCCACAUCCAACAGUUCAUUCAUUACUCCUAAACCCACCAACAGUUAGCAUCACAUGAAGCCUCAUUUGCAUAUUUAAACAUAACAUGUCAGAAAACUUGUAAUGUAAAAAGUAAUCGUGUUAAUGUCGGCGAUGAAGUGGGGGAGUCUCACGGUGAUAUCUGUUCGUGACAGUUUGUUCCCUAAUCGCAUGAAGUGUGUACAACAUGUGAGUUUAGCCCAAAACAAAUCUUGUUUUGUGUUCAUAUCGACGUCGGGAUCCGGAGUCGAGGCUGAUCCUCCUGCUGUGGUCCUGUGUCCUGGAUCCUCUAUCCUGAGUUCUGGAUUAAGUCGUGGACUUCGGGUCGUGGCUGAUCCUGUCUCUGCGGUCCUGCCUGGGUCUCGUCGUGCUGCCUCCCUGAAGGAUUGUUGACAUCCUCGUGGAUUCAUCUUCUUAUUAUACACACAUGCAUUUCCAAACAUUUGGUCUACCUAUGUUGCAAAUGUAUUAUCUUUUCAAUUUACACACGGCAUCUAUUGCACGUCUGUCCGUCCUGGGAGAGGGAUCCCUCCUCUGUUGCUCUCCCUGAGGUUUCUCCCAUGUUCCCCUUUAAACUGUGGGUUUUCUCUGGAAGUGUUUCCUUGUACGAUGUGAGGGUCUAAGGACAGAGGGUCUAAGGACAGAGGGUGUCGUUUUCUUCUCAUACUGAUAUUAUGAACAAACUGUGCUGUUCUAUUUGCUGUAAAGUGUCUCUACUGUAGGCUAUUUUUAUUAUAUAUAUUGUACAGCACUUUGGCUCGACCACAAAUCGUUUAUAAAUGUACUAUAUAAAUAAAACUUGAUUUGAUUU
Notothenia coriiceps (black rockcod) is the source of this 1718-nucleotide long non-coding RNA. RefSeq lists it as uncharacterized. NCBI's taxonomy places the organism in Eukaryota, Metazoa, Chordata, Actinopteri, Perciformes, Nototheniidae. The transcript has 3 exons. The record is from RefSeq and is a predicted model, not a curated record.